Molecule: ribosomal RNA, 253 nt
Filed under: uncultured bacterium
Lineage: Bacteria
Description: partial 16S ribosomal RNA
Rfam family: Bacterial small subunit ribosomal RNA
Source: RNAcentral
UACAGAGGGGGCAAGCGUUGUUCGGAAUUACUGGGCGUAAAGGGCGCGUAGGCGGCCUGCUAAGUCGAACGUGAAAUCCCUGGGCUCAACCCAGGAACUGCGUCCGAUACUGGUUGGCUUGAAUCCGGGAGAGGGAAGUGGAAUUCCAGGUGUAGCGGUGAAAUGCGUAGAUAUCUGGAGGAACACCGGUGGCGAAGGCGACGUCCUGGACCGGUAUUGACGCUGAGGCGCGAAAGCCAGGGGAGCGAACAGG